This 73-nucleotide transfer RNA is filed under the name Alosa alosa (allis shad). RNAcentral describes it as "tRNA-Gly". It matches the Rfam family "tRNA". From Rfam's summary of the family: Transfer RNA (tRNA) molecules are approximately 80 nucleotides in length. Their secondary structure includes four short double-helical elements and three loops (D, anti-codon, and T loops). Lineage: Eukaryota; Metazoa; Chordata; Actinopteri; Clupeiformes; Clupeidae. The record is from RNAcentral.
GUUUCCAUAGUGUAGUGGUUAUCACGUUAAGCCUCCUUCUGAAAGGUCCUCAGUUCGAAACUGGGUGGAAACA